Molecule: ribosomal RNA, 253 nt
Filed under: uncultured bacterium
Lineage: Bacteria
Description: partial 16S ribosomal RNA
Rfam family: Bacterial small subunit ribosomal RNA
Source: RNAcentral
UACGUAGGGUGCAAGCGUUGUCCGGAAUUAUUGGGCGUAAAGAGCUUGUAGGCGGUUUGUCGCGUCUGCUGUGAAAUUUCGGGGCUCAACCCCGAACUUGCAGUGGGUACGGGCAGACUAGAGUGCAGAAGGGGCAACUGGAAUUCUCGGUGUAGCGGUGAAAUGCGUAGAUAUCGAGAGGAACACCUGCGGCGAAGGCGGGUUGCUGGGCUGACACUGACGCUGAUGCGCGAAAGCCAGGGGAGCGAACGGG